This 274-nucleotide ribosomal RNA is filed under the name uncultured bacterium. RNAcentral describes it as "partial 16S ribosomal RNA". It matches the Rfam family "Bacterial small subunit ribosomal RNA", at positions 523 to 796 of the family's 1533-position model. The record is from RNAcentral.
AUACGGAGGGUGCAAGCGUUACUCGGAAUCACUGGGCGUAAAGCGCGCGCAGGCGGUCUUUUAAGUGGGAUGUGAGAGCCUACGGCUCAACCGUAGAACUGCAUCCAAAACUAUUAGACUAGAGUAUGGGAGAGGAAGAUGGAAUUAGUUGUGUAGGGGUAAAAUCCGUAGAGAUAACUAGGAAUACCAAAAGCGAAGGCAAUCUUCUGGAACACUACUGACGCUGAGGCGCGAAAGCGUGGGGAGCAAACAGGAUUAGAAACCCUAGUAGUCC